CAUCUUCUGUGUUGUCUGUGACCAAGUCAGAGGGCAGCAACAAUGUGAAUCUACAAACUGUGACAGUUGGAAAGGAGGUAACUGUGGGACUCAGGGACAAUGGGGCAAACGUGACUCUUGUGUGUCCAGAGCUAGUGCACUCUGAGGAGGUCAUUCCUGGCAGGACUAUAGCAGUUAAAGGAAUUGGUGGAGUACGUCUUGUAGUGCAAAUGGCACAAGUUUAAUUUGAUUAGGGAGCGGGGGAGAGUUUCAGAGAUGUGGGGAUAGAUGAGAAUAUCCCUGCAAAUGUAUUACUUGGUACUGACUUAGGUAGAUUGUUAUCCCAGUAUGUGCCUGAAAGUAAUAUGUGUUAUCAACCCAAACCUCCACCUACUGUGGAGAGGGCAAACAUGUGUCAAUCUGUGCCAGAGCCAGGGGUAAAAACAACUUCACAGGGAGGUAGGGCAGGAUGAGCAUGUGCGCCUAUCUGUGCCAGAGCCAGAGAUGUUUGAGAUGCCAUGUGAAAACAUAAGUGGAUUAACACAUUGGGAAUC
Molecule: non-coding RNA, 533 nt
Organism: Pelobates cultripes (western spadefoot toad)
Lineage: Eukaryota; Metazoa; Chordata; Amphibia; Anura; Pelobatidae
Source: the annotation of a GenBank genome assembly